GACGAACGCUGGCGGCGUGCUUAACACAUGCAAGUCGAACGGAAAGGCCCUGCUUUUGUGGGGUGCUCGAUUGGCGAACGGGGGAGUAACACGUGAGUAACCUGCCCUUGACUUUGGGGUAUCUUCACGAAACUGGGGCUAAUACCGGAGAGGAUCUCUUGCUCCAUGUUGGGGGUUGGUAAGUUUCGGCGGUUGGGGAUGGACUCGCGGCUUAUCAGCUUGUUUGGGGGGUAGGGGCUUACCAGGGUUUUGAGGGGUAGCCGGCCUGGGAGGGUGAACAGACCCCUUGGGACUGGGGGACGGCACAGACUCCUAUGGGAGGCAGUAGUGGGGAGCAUUGCACAACGAGAGGAAGCGUGAUGUAGAAACGCCGUGUGCGGGAAGACGGGCUUCGGGUUGAAAACCGAUUUCGAAUGUGACGAAGCGUGAGUGACGGUAAUGGGUAAAGAAGCACCGGCUAACUACGUG
This 468-nucleotide ribosomal RNA is filed under the name uncultured bacterium. RNAcentral's name for it is "partial 16S ribosomal RNA". It matches the Rfam family "Bacterial small subunit ribosomal RNA", at positions 28 to 507 of the family's 1533-position model. The record is from RNAcentral.